UCAUAACAUUAAAUGGCUGCUGUGGCUUGACAUAAAGGAACUGAACAGGAAGAGCAAGCAUUGUGGAUUUCUGAGGGGAUAUUUACAGAGUGGGAUAGGAGAUUUGAACUUCCAAGAAGUUGCCUGCAGCCUCUGUGCCAGUUCCAUGCCCUAAAGGAUCAUGCUACUACACACCGGAUCAACAUCUUCAUUGAUCUAUCUGCUACAACCCCAAGGUCUGGUUCCUAGUCAACUA
Non-coding RNA from Podarcis muralis (Common wall lizard), 235 nucleotides. The record is from RefSeq and is a predicted model, not a curated record. NCBI's taxonomy places the organism in Eukaryota, Metazoa, Chordata, Lepidosauria, Squamata, Lacertidae.